This 346-nucleotide unclassified non-coding RNA is filed under the name soil metagenome. RNAcentral's name for it is "partial contains 5.8S ribosomal RNA, internal transcribed spacer 2, and large subunit ribosomal RNA". The stretch from base 1 to 120 matches the Rfam family "5.8S ribosomal RNA", at positions 35 to 154 of the family's 154-position model. The record is from RNAcentral.
GAUGAAGAACGCAGCGAAAUGCGAUAAGUAAUGUGAAUUGCAGAAUUCAGUGAAUCAUCGAGUCUUUGAACGCACAUUGCGCCCCCUGGUAUUCCGGGGGGCAUGCCUGUCCGAGCGUCAUUGCUGCCCUCAAGCACGGCUUGUGUGUUGGGCCCCGUCCUCCGAUUCCGGGGGACGGGCCCGAAAGGCAGCGGCAGCACCGCGUCCGGUCCUCGAGCGUAUGGGGCUUUGUCACCCGCUCUGUAGGCCCGGCCGGCGCUUGCCGAUCAACCCAAAUUUUUAUCCAGGUUGACCUCGGAUCAGGUAGGGAUACCCGCUGAACUUAAGCAUAUCAAUAAGCGGAGGA